UUUUAUUUGAGAGUUUGAUCCUGGCUCAGGAUGAACGCUGGCGGCGUGCCUAACACAUGCAAGUUGAGCGAUUUACUUCGGUAAAGAGCGGCGGACGGGUGAGUAACGCGUGGGUAACCUACCCUGUACACACGGAUAACAUACCGAAAGG
Molecule: ribosomal RNA, 151 nt
Filed under: Clostridioides difficile
Lineage: Bacteria; Bacillati; Bacillota; Clostridia; Peptostreptococcales; Peptostreptococcaceae
Description: partial 16S ribosomal RNA
Rfam family: Bacterial small subunit ribosomal RNA
Source: RNAcentral